Curtobacterium flaccumfaciens is the source of this 96-nucleotide non-coding RNA. Lineage: Bacteria; Bacillati; Actinomycetota; Actinomycetes; Micrococcales; Microbacteriaceae. The record is from Rfam.
GCUCGAGACACGGGGUGCCGCAUCCAGCGGCUGAGAUCACACCCGUCGAACCUGCUCGAGCUCGUACUCGCGAAGGGAUCGUCCAUGGAAACCGUU